UUAAUAUGUGUGCAAUUGGCGAUGCACUUUCUGGUACAAUGCAUGUGCUAGUUAUUGAAUUCUUUUAGCAGACCCAUCGACGAUUCAGCAUCAGGUUCCACUAAGGCUAGGAACUAAUUGAAUCCUACAUUAGGGGUUCUACAAGAGGCCGGUUGCCACCUAAGUCCUGCUUAAGGAUGACCCAAUGAAGCAAUCAAUUUAAAUAACAAUGAAUCACAACAACAGCCUGUCAUCUGCUUUUGCAUCUACCGCCACAUGUGCUUCUUCUAUUUUUAUUCAACACCUUCGACAUGCUAAGAUUAUGUUAAGUACUUCACACAUGCAAAGAAUAUGAUGUAAUAAAUAUGCAUACUUUCUCUCUAAUGUUAAAGCAGGGUGCUUCAAUGGCGGAUGCAUUUUAUUGUAACUUUUUGAGUUAUGGAAUAGAUGGCACAAGUUGGGAGGAUAGUUAGAAUUUUAGCCCAAUUAGAGAGAAAUAAUCACAAAUUGAAGAACCUAUCGUCUCCUCGAGACCCACCAACAAAAGAUCCAAAAAUUUCACCGAGCAAGAAGACGACUUGUUGGUACAAAUAUGGCUAAAUACCAGUUUGGAUGCAUCAAUCGGGAACAAACAAAAUCGUGAAUCUUAUUGGGCUAGGAUUCAUCAUUACUAUCAGCAGAACAAGCAAUUUGAAUCUUUGCGCAAUCAAAAUUCUCUUGCCAACCGUUAGGGUACUAUUCAAGAAUAGUUUACAAGUUUUAUGGAUGUUAUGACCGGAUUCAGAAUAGAAGAUAAAGCGGCAUGACAGCGCAAGACAGGAUUGUUGAGACAUGUACUUUGUACGAGGCGGAAGAUACUAAAGGGAGAUCAUUUGGAUUACUGCAGUGUUAGAGAAUCUUAGAGCACCAUCAAAAGUGGACUUCUAGAUUAUCUCAGAAAAAACAAAAGACAGCCUCCAAUGCAUGUUCGAGUACUUCAUCUCUGGGUACGACCUCCAACGAUGAUGAAGUUGAGGCUUGCACUCUUGAACAUGAUCCAUUGAGAAGGCCAAUUGGCAAGAAGCCCGAGAAAGAACGAUUACAACGAGGUAAAAGUUUUGCCUCUUCACAUGGUAAUACUGUCAUGUUAGCAUUGGAUAAAGUGUGGUCAAAGAAGAUUGAGAGGAAAGACAAGAAAGAGGCCAAGAAAGAUGCUUGCUAUAAGCAAGCACUUACAAUGGAAGAAAAGAUGAUUGCACUUGAACAAAGUAAGCAGGAAAUAAAAAGAAAGAAGGUAGCGCUAGAACAACAAAAGCUAGAUCAACAGAGAAAGCAUGAUGAAGAGAGGAUUAUAAGCAUGGAUAUUAGUGGUAUGACUGGGCCACAACAAUAGUACAACAUGAGCUUGUAGGGUGAGAUCAUCGCUCGGCUAUACAACACAUCGGGUUGAGACUAUUAUAUUUUUUAGUUGUGAUCUCAGAUCUCAAUCUGGUUGUAUAUUUUAAUAUGCAAUUGAUUUAGCAGUUACCUUGCUGACCUUAUGCAAGUA
Phragmites australis (common reed) is the source of this 1507-nucleotide long non-coding RNA. RefSeq lists it as uncharacterized. Lineage: Eukaryota; Viridiplantae; Streptophyta; Magnoliopsida; Poales; Poaceae. The transcript is spliced from 2 exons. The record is from RefSeq and is a predicted model, not a curated record.